Long non-coding RNA from Ictalurus punctatus (channel catfish), 10502 nucleotides. Lineage: Eukaryota; Metazoa; Chordata; Actinopteri; Siluriformes; Ictaluridae. The record is from Ensembl.
GUGUGUAUGUGUGUGUGUGUGUGUGUGUGUGUGUGUGUGUGCGUGUUAGUGUGUGUGUGUGUGUGUGUGUGUGUGUGUGUGUGUGUGUGUGUGUGUGUGGGAGUUCCUGAUUUAUCAGUCAUUAGAUUCGAGUCUGUCAUUUUAACUCGGCCAUGACGCUCAUUUGUACAACGUGCUUGAGCGAGCUUUCCCUGCUAAACAUCUCAGGCGUGAGACAGGCUGGACGGGGGUUAACUGCAAACACAUGACCACUGUCAUACGACCUCGUUUUAAGGUAGCUGGCUAAGGGAGAGUUUCUGUAGCUCUUUCUUUCUCUUUCUUUCCAUUUCACAGCCUGUGACCACUGCCUCUAGUUACUGUCUCUCUGUGUCGGUGUCUGUCUCUUAUUACCGCCGUCUCUUGCAGUGUGUGUGUGUGUGUGUGUGUGUGUGUGGUGUGUGCUGCUGCUCCGAGUGGAGAGGGAAUAGUGGAGGCAAAGGAUGUCAGUGCAAGAUAAACACCAGCACAGUCAAGUGGCUUUGAGAGAGAGAAAGAGAGAGACAGAGAGAGAGAGAGAGAAAGAGAGAGAGAGAGAGAGAGAGAGAAAGAGAGAGAGGCUGAUCCUAUGAGCUGGCUCUCAUUCCUCAGUUGAAUGUAGUACGAGGAGUUGAGUGUAGUACACAAGCUGUGUGGGCAGUUCACUUGUUCAAUACACCCUCAGUACACGCUUUGAUUUUCCCAAUUCUGCCUUUUCUCUUUGACCAGUCAAUUCUGCUCAACAGUACUCUCUCCUCCUGCAAAAGCACAUUCUGUUUUGUAAUCCAUGUCAAUUCUGCGUAGUGCCUUUUUCUAGAAAAAUCAUAAAAAGCUCUUUGAAGGGGAGAGUGAGGCGGUCGGGAAAAGACACUAACAAAAAUGUCCACCUUCUGUAUGCAGGGAUACUGGUAUUUAUAAUGGGUGGGACCUUUGCCUAGAGAAACAUUUAAUUAAAUUUUAUUGUAGUUAUACAGCACUUUUAAUGAUAGACAUUGUUACAAAGCAGUUUUACAAAAAUUCAGGACAUCCCUCAUGUCCAAGCCAGUGGCAAAGAAAUCCUUCCUGAGAUGACCUGAUGAUUUAAGAAGAGGUUGUCCUAUUGGUGCUACAAGUAUCAAAGCUAUCAGAUGAACUCCAUUUCCUAGAACCAGUGUUGUACAAGUAUUUUGUAUCAUGUACAAACCUUUUAUCAGCCAAGUUUAAACAUAGCAAAUGCUACAUUAUUUAUUCAAUUUUUUUGUUAAAUGUGUUUGGUAAUAAUAUGGUUCCAAUCUUUUCUAAUAUCAGACCUCGCAAUAUGGGCUGAAACCUGAUACUUAUCUCCUACUGACAUCCUCACAGUAAAUGAGCUGAGUGUUAUGUCUCUGCCAUGUUAUGAGAAAAAUAAGAGAUGUUUUGUCUUAUGUUCAUGUUUUGUCUGUUUUUAAACUUCACAUCAAUCCGUACAGGAUUUCACAGAGUUUCUUUGUGAUUGUUGCGGCCAAAAAUCCUUGAUUUUGCUGUGGCUUUUUAUAAAAUUUGCGAUGCAGAAUUACUACUUGAAUCGGCGAAAUUGCGAGUGCACUAAAUUGUUUUGCAAGGUCAUGUUUGUUGGUAAAUGAGACCUUUUAGCUGUACUCAUGUUCGACAUACAUGAAUCCAAGGGGGCUCUGGCUGAAUGCUCAUUGUGAUGAUGUCACAUGACAUGUCUUGGCCCAAAUGUGUGGAAAAUCUGUGUUAAUUUAGAAAAAUUGCAAGCUCCUGCGAAUAUUGCGGUGUUUCCUUGAUUUUGCGUUCAUUUCUGUGAUCACAAAAUUGCAAAAUCCUGGAGGGACUGAUCACAUGAUUUCACUGCUUUAAAUACUUCAGUGGAUCUGAUAAGAAAAUAUGAAAAGGUAUAAAAAUAUGAUCCAGGAUUUCCGGCCAUUAUCGGCAUCAAUAGCAAUCCUACAUCCCUAUUUCUCAUGUAGCUUCGUUUAAUUAUUCUGUAAUGAAUAAACCACGAUGGGAUGUUCUCUUAUAGGAAAAUAAUCAGUGGCAAUUGGUGUGAUGUGGGCCGUUACCACACUGGAUGUUUCCAAUAACAGCAUGUCCUAAAGGGUUUUAUUGCUUUUAUACCACUGCAAUAUGACAAUUAUUACUUUUUUAUUUUGUUAAUGAACAACACAUCAUGCUUUUAACUGAUUAGAACAUCCUUAAGACUUAAGGAUCCUUAAGACCAGCCUCUCUCUAUUUUUCUCUCUCUUGACAUAAAUAAGACAAAGAAAAUAAACACAGCUUGUCAUGUUACCAAAAAACCACAAGAAGGCAAAGCCAUCUGUCCUGAAGUCUCCUGUGGCGGAAAACUUGACCAUUAGAGCUGACACUGGAGACUCCUUCCAUUAGUAUUGGAUAAACAUCUCCUUACAGAAUUAUACAUUUUGAAUUGUCUAUCAUACAGGUCCCUGAAAAUUAGCUGCUACUAUCCAUCCAUCCAUUUUCCAUACCACUUAUCCUAAACAGGGUUGCGUGGAGCCUAUCCCGGGGAACUCGGGGCACAAGACAGAAGAGACCCUGGACGGGGUGCCAACCGAUUGCAGGUCACAACUGCACACAGAUUCACACAUCCAUUCACACACUACGGACCAUUUGGAAAUGCCAAUCAGACUACAGCGCAUGUCUUUGGACUGGGGGAGGAAACUGGAGUGCCAAGAGGAAACCCCUGAGACACGGGGAGAACAUGCAAACUCUGCACACAGAGGGUGGAGGCAGGAUUCAAACCCCCAAACCCAGAGGUGCGAGGCUAACGUGUUAACCACUAAGCCACCAUGCUCCCUAUACAAAUGAUAAUCUUAUUAGAACAAACAUCCCAAACCUGUGAUCUGAAUUAUAGCUGGAACUACUGCAGAGCCACUGUCAUAGAAAAUGAAUCCACACCUACUGGCCAAUCAGAAUUGAGAAUUCAGCUGUGAUGUGGUAUAAUCGUAAUUAGCGGAAGAUCUGAGCAGAAGAUUAGCUGUAAUCAUAGUAACAGUAAUCGUAGAUGUAAUUUUGUGAGUUAAGAUCUCAGUAGUAUACUGUAACUACUUACGUUUCUCUAAACAUUAGCUGUAGUUCAUGUAUUAGAGAAGCCUAAUUCGUAAGUUAUCUAACUACAUUUUUAAGAUCUGAUACCUAAUACGUACAUGAUUCUAUAUCGUCUUCCUCAGUUGACGUGAGGAAAGUGUCGUGUUUUGAAAGUUCAUUUUGCUUGAACAGACAAUAAAACACACUUUUACCUAUUACCAUGUGCUGUUUACUUCCUGCCACACUGUUUGAUGGACAGCCUGUUCCAGGCUUUCAGUUUCGAGCAGUUUGAGAAUGCACUUCUGCCUAAACUAGGCCACAUUGCAUACUCUCGAGGUUCAUUAAAAAAUUUUCCUGUUUGACUGAAUUUUAUGUUCAUUGUGAGCAUGAUCAUCUCUAUUGAUCUUCUUAAAUAUUAGUCUGCAUACAUAUAUACACAUACAACAUAGCCUUUCUACCAAUUCUCACUUUUUCAUUCUCCCUCCCUAUAAGAGGGUAAGACAUCUGUUUGUGAGAGAGGAGGUCUGAUGGCUAAAAUGUUUGUGUGUGUGUGUGUGUGUGUGUGUGUGUGUGUGUGUGUGUGUGUGUGUGUGCGUGCACGUGGUGUGUAAGCAUUAUUUUCCUCUGAGCCUGUGUGUAUGCAUGAUGAGGAAGGAGGGCUGACAGAGAGAGGCCAUAUCAGUGCCGUAUCACACCUAAUUAAUAAAGCCGGUCCGUGCUAAUUAAAAAAAAGUGUGAUUAAUGCCACUGCCAGGAUUUCAUGGCACACUGUGGUGUCGUUUUGAGUCACAGAUCUACUGCCAUGUAGAGUAAGAACACAAACACACACAAACACAUACACACAUCUCUCUGUCAUGAAUAUGAGAGAGAAGUACAGUUUAAAAAAGUGAAAAAUAAAAAUAAAACAAUAAUAUGUUUUGAAAAGAAGAAGCUGCUCAGCAUCUUCAGAGCACUGUAGCCUUGAAACUGCUUAAGAAAUACAAAUCCUAUAUUCUGUUCUAUUCUAUUCUAUUCUAUUCUGUUCUAUUCUAUUCUAUUCUAUUCAGUUCUGUUCUGUUCUAGUCUAAUCUAAUCUAGUUUUGACCAAACUGGGAUAUGCUAGAAAAAGAAUUUCACUGUGCUAUAUUUGUAUAUUUGACAAAAGCCAUCUUUCUAUUCUAUUCUAUUCUAUCCCAGUCUAGUCUAUUCAAUUUAUUGUAUUCUUUUCUACUCCUUGCCAAGUAAUUUCUUGUGAGGAAAAUCAUUUCUCUAUACUGUAUGUGUAUAUCUGACAAUAAAUGCUGUAUUUCUAUUCUAUUCUAUUCUAUUCUAUUCUAUUCUAUUCUAUUCUAUUCUAUGCAACUGUAUUUAGAUUUGUCAAUCUAUCGAUUUCUAUCCUUGAUAACAACCUGGUGUAUGCAAGCAAAAAAUAAUUAAUUAAAAAAAGAACAGAAAAUAAUUUUCUUGUACUGUACUUGUACUAUACGACAAAACGCCUGUCUAUUCUAUUCUAUGCUAUUCUAUUUUAUUCUAUUCUACCCUCAAUAUCCAGCUCCCUAACAAGCUGAAAUAUACAAUGAACAUAAUUUCACUGUAUUGCACUUUUACAAUACAUGUUCCAGUAAGACUUCCGGUGUCUCAUUUCCAUUUGUUUUAUUCCAUUAUAUUCAAUUGUAUUUAAUUCUAUUUCAAUCGAUCAUAUCCUUCAUAACAAGCUGAGAUAUGCAAAUUCAAGAAUGUAUUCUCUGUAUUGUACUUUUCCAUUCUAGUCUAUUCAAAUCUAUUCUAUUUAGCUCUGCUCUGUUCUGUUCAAUUCAAUUCAAUUCUAUUUUAAAUGACCCACACAUUCCAGCUUUGCAGUCCAUUUCUAACCAUUUGUAUACUAUCCUUUUCUGUUCUAAUAUAUGUUUCUCUUUGUUGCUGAGAUUAUUAUAUGUUAUUUAUUGUACACCUAGAAUAUUUUGUAUUUAAUGGUCGCCACUAUUUCCCCUGGGCGUCUGCAUCUCAUAGCUAGCUUGCAUUAUUAAAAGAGCUAAAACAGGGCUGCGGCCAUUAGUUAGUGUGUUAGGAUCUGUGUGCUGGGCAGUGUUUGUCUGUUUCUCAUCGGGGUAAACAUUUGUUCCAGUUGUAGAUGGUGUGCAGCAGGAACAUGAAUCAGGGACGAGGAGCGGAAAGCACUGUGACAGCUGCAGCUCAUUACCAGCACUAUUACUGAUCUAGGGGACUGCUGGGGGAAAUUCCUCCUUCCAAGGAAAGCGUUCCUGUUUACCAUACAGCACUGCAGAUCAGGAGCUGCACACACAGAUGCACAAACACACAUACAUAAGCACACACAUGCCUAUGUUUGGUUGGGGUUUUUUUUUCUUUUUUUUUUUUUUUUACAUCCUACCAUAUGUGAGCAUUUGCCUUCAGUGCUUAAACACUAACGUGCAUCCUCGCUUUCAGUUUACAUUAAUACACUCUCUGUCAGAGUACAGUGUACAGUAUUUACACCUAGCUUUCUGUCUUUUAUUAUUGCACACACACACUCACACACAUAUGCUCCUUCAAUCAGGCACGUCUGACUCAGCCUUGCUGCUUUACGUCAUUUGGCCCAAUCAGGCAGACCUUCACCGGCCCAUUAAAGUGGAAGUCUUUCUGUUUUUCUUGGUCACCUUUUUACAGGUCAAGUAAACAGAAUUAUUUUUGUAAAGAUUCGGUCAUAUCAGCCUCCUUCCUGUAAUAAUCACUACUCCUUCUUCAAAUAUCGUCAUUCUACUGAUAUUUUAGCUUACUUUAAAUUUAUGUUUGAAAAAAUGAGGAAACCGUAAGAAGUGUUUCCAAAAAGAUUCAUAAAGUUAAUUACAAAACGUUAACUUCAUCUUAAGAACGUCCUUUUAAUUAACACACGUCUCUCGUUAAAAAUUCUAAAUGCUUGUAAUAUAAAGUCAUUUGUAGGUUGUUUGUAAAUUAAAAAGUAAAUUGACCCAAUAGUGCUGCUCUGCCUCAAAAAGAAGACAAAGACAAAUGAGAGUAAUUUGGGUAAGAAAACCCUUAAAAAAAAAAAAAAAAAAAAAAAAAACAACCUCACUGAUCUGUUUGCCUAAACUGGGUUAUUAUCAGUACUACUACUACUGUUGUUGUUUUGUGCUUGUUUUGUAGUUUCAGAGUUGUUGUACAUUUUAGUUCACUCUUCACCGAACAAAAAGACCAAUUUAUGUUCAUCAUUCAAAUAUGAGAAUAAAGCUGCUGCUGAUGUGCCAAGUGGAGCUGUUUGUCUUAAUGCUGUGGUGUGAUCAAAUAUAAACUAAUCCACUAAUCCAUCUCAGUGAUGGGGAACAGUAGCGUACCCAGUGUAUUAGUCUUACAAAACCUAAAAUAUGACACUGAUGCAAUCAGGGUUACAUAUAAUUCAUUAAGUCUCCAUGAUUUAUAAGGAGUAUAUAUUUCACAGAAAUGUCUUUAGAUGUCAGGGUUGGGGAGACAAUUCAGGUGGCAGUGUUACCCAGUGCUAACCAUGAAGCCACACCCCUGAUGAUAUGCUAAUAGAGAUAAACAGGGCAAUGGGGGGGGGGGGGUUAAUGUGGGUCUUGGGAGAUAAUGACCCUUCUUGGUUGGGUACAGGAUAAAACUGCAGUGCUUUUGAUGCACCACUAUAACUCUGCCAUGUGCACAGCGACAUACAAAUUUCAACCAGAAUUUGGGAUGGCUAGCAUAAAACAGAAAGCAUAUUAGAACAAACACCUCUUGAAUUUCAUCUACAGCUUCCAGAAAGAAUUCUCAGUAUGAAACUGGACGUGUGACCACCAAAAACUUUUUUAUAAACAUUUUGGCCGGGGAAGUACUCCUGAGAAUUUUAUUUGGACCAACUGCAAUUUUCCUAAGAGUAAAAACUUAAUGAACACUAAUUUGGCUACAGAGUGAAAGUAGAUUUCCUAUACAUGUCUAUUUGCUAUUACCUUUUUGCUCACAGCCCAUAGCUGAGGAGCAUAUUUCAGGGUUCAAAGCAAGGUGAAAGGAUUGAUAUGCAUAUUGGAUGGGAUUUAGAAGAACACCAGAGAAGGGAAACUAAAACACUUGCCUAAUGUGGAAGUCCAGGAGGAAGAGGAGAGAAAUAGAAGAGCAGAGUAUGGCAUUUCCUGACCAGGAUAAGGAGGAACAACACCAGGCUAAAGUGAGUUAGAACUCAGGGAUAAAAGAGAAGCUCGUUGAUCUGUGUUAUUUUUUAUUUUCCCAUAUUUUUGUUUAAACACUAUAAUAAAGUGCUCGUUUUAAGAACAGAGUAAAACAAGAAUAUUCCAAUGUACAAAGUCUAACUUGACUAACAGUGUCAAAAGAAAUCUGUAAGAAAAUAUAAGUGAAUACAUAGGCAACAUUUUACACUCUCUUUAUCCAUUGGGCAAGUUGGAACCAAUAUUAAAGAUCUUACAUAUUGUGCCUCUAAAAGUGACUUGUUUUGCAAGAACUGCUUUUAAUAUUAAUAUUAAUAUCAUUUUUAUUGAUAUCUUCCCCCUCUUCAAACAAAAAUGGAAUGCCAUCCCCCUUUAUUUUUAGGUGACGACAACAUGAGAUUUAGAAAAUAGUUUAACCAAUCCUGCUUCAUCCUGAAAUGUAAUAAAGUUAAGAAAAAGUGGCAAAUUGUUGAUUUUGCGUACAUCUAUAUGCUAGUUAAGAGCACUGUCUAUUGGAUUCCAUUUAUGUUUUUCUCACUGAUCCAUUUUGCCAGACUCUGGCUGGGUGGAGUCACAGAAAUACCUAGUAAUAGGUAAGAAAAGCUUUCGGCAAAACUGCUGUUAAGUUGCUUUAAGACUCAUCUUUUUUGGGAAACACAUCCUGGUUUUAUGCCAUCUGGUUUCAUUAUCGAUAAUCAAAAUAACUGACGCCAGAAUCCUCCACCCUCAGGAAACAAGUGCUCCAAAAAUAAUACUGGCGGCUUAUUCUUAUUAUAGGUGCCUUCCAGUAACUUACUCCCUCUCAAUAACGACACUAUAAACAUUUAAGCACAUACGUCGCUGAUGUAUACUCUCCACUCUACAGCCAACAGUGGCACAGAGGUCCAGGCCAUGAGCUUGGGCCGAUUGCAUUGGGUUAAUGUAUUAAUUUCUUGGCGGCCCUCCAGAAUAACAUAAAUCAAAAGCAGACCAAACAGCACCUUGUGUUUUGAGGGGGUCUCACCCUUUUUGACCUCUGCCAAUUUUGAUCUUAUUUCGCUUUAACUUUGCAGAUCAGACUUUAAUUUUGAAGCAGGUUGGAGGGACAGUGAUGAAUAGGGUGCAUCGCGUGGAGCUUAAAUUACCCUCUCUCUGGUGAUGGGGGAUCAGGAGGUGCAGGCAGCAGCAGGAGGGGGUGAGGGUGGGCCUCCCAUGACCUAGUAACAGACAGAGAAAGAGAGCUGGUCAGCACUUGCCCUCACAACCCUGCAAGCUAGCACACCCAGAGAGAGAGAGAGAGAGAGAGAGAGAGAGAGAGAGAGAGAGAGAGAGAGAGAGAGAGAGAGAGGAGUAGGUCUAAUGAGCAUAUGGAAAAGUGAGGAACACACUUCACUGAUGAGAGGCCCAAGAAAAGUUCAAUCUCAGAGUCUGUGUGUUUCACAUGAAACCUCACUCUUGAAUUCAGUAUUCAACAAAAAGUAUGAGUUAUUUUUGUUGAAUAAUUUGUUGAAUAAUGAGUAUGUGUGCUUCAGUAAAGACAUAAAGCAUAGGAGUUUGUUGAAUGAAUUAUGCCUGUUCCAUUGUACUGGAUCACUUUCAUGAACAUUACAUCUGAGUUAGUAUGAUGCAAUACAGUGGUUAUUAAAGUCACCAUAUUUUAUUUCCAAUAAUGAAUACAUUGCUUGACAUGGUGGUUUAAUAAACAACAGAAACAUGGUAUAGAAGUGCCUAGACUUUUACUCUCAUCAGGAAAUGCAGACUUUAUGGUGAAUGUGGUAAAUGGCAGGCUGGUAUAACAUAGCCUCUAUUUACAUAUUAGAACCUGAUUGGCUCUUUGAAUUUUAUGAUGCAGUAAGACUUGUUUGUCUAAUACAAACUUGAUUUUCCAGUCAGAUUUUCAGCUCCUCUGUUUCACAAUUAGCAAAAAAAAAUUAAAAUAAAAUAAAAAUAAAAAAUAAAAAAUUAUUUGAGCUAACCGGAUGAAUCCCAUUGAAAGAUUUUAUUCUAAAAAAAAAGUUUCAUGAGGAUUAGGGUGACAUUUGAAUUUUGUAAAUGAUUCCAUUCAUGUAUUUCACAUUAUAUGUACACUCAUCAGCCCUACUACUACUACUAGUACUACUACUACCAUUAUUAUUAUUAUUAUUAUUAUUAUUAUUAUUAUUAAGAACAGUAGUAGUAGUGGUGUUGUUGUUGCUGUUUUAAAUAUUGCUGUCACUGCUCUUGCUCUUCAUCUUUUUCUUGUUGUUGUUGUUGUUGUUGUUGUUAUUAUUAUUAUUAUUAUUAUUAUUAUUAUUAUUAUUAAGAACAGUAGUAGUAGUGGUGUUGUUUUUGUUGUUGUUUUAAAUAUCGUUGUCACUGCCCUUGCACUUCAUCUCUUCUUUAUUAUUAUUAUUAUUAUUAUUAUUAUUAUUAUUAUUAUUAUUAUUAAAAGUACUAUCAUCACUAGUAGUAGAGCAGCAGCAGCAGCAGUGGUAUAUUAUGCAUUAGUGUAAAUGCAUGUAAAAAUGCAACAGAGACAUUUGGGAUGUGUGUAAAAGGAAGUAUUUGCUGGAAGCAGAUGAGUCAGUGAGUCAGUGUUUCCCCUCCUCUCCUGUGUGCACCCCGCCGCUCGGCCUCCUUACACACGCCACUAGGAUUAACUGUGCCGUGCAGACGUGCGGAGCGCGAGCGCGCCCCUUCUCCUCCCCGUCCCCGACAAAUCUCCCCGAGGUUUUCAUGUUCUGUCUUUUUUUUUUUUUUUUUCGUUUUCCCCACUCAUCGUCUGCGUUUUUAUUCCCUCUCUCUGGCUUGGGCGAGAAUCAACUGUAUACCAGGUUUCUCAUGGCUCUUCGUACCGAACAGGGUUUCGCGCGCCGCUUUUGGCUCCCGCUGCGCGCGACGCACUAAAACCCGGCUGAUUCUCGGCGUGCGUGGCGCGGAAACCUGCCGCUCUGUGGACGGCCGUAUAGUUACUGUAGAGACAGUUCUUAACAUUUAUGUUUUCAGUACACACGUGCGUUCAAGCAGCUUUUAUUACUCUACAGCGGUCUGUGCGCGUGCGGCCACAGAGCGUGGAAUAUAUGAACCAUAUAGCGGUGCUUACACAUGCAGCCAAAGGCACUCCAGUCUCCCUGCGGAAAUCCUGCAAGUUAGCCAUUAACUAAUAAUUUAAAAUAUGAAAACAUGUAUAGGUUAUUAGCAUGCUCUACACUAACUGCCAAAUUGCCAUUCAGUGUUUAUUUUAAACAACAGGAAAAUCUGCACUAGCCUUACUAACCCAUGCAUUAAAUGUUAUUAUAAUGAUUAUGAUUAUACUAUUUAUUUAAUUUUCACAUGAAGUACAUAGACAUAACUAUAACCCCCCCUCCCCCACCC